Molecule: non-coding RNA, 29 nt
Filed under: Mus musculus (house mouse)
Lineage: Eukaryota; Metazoa; Chordata; Mammalia; Rodentia; Muridae
Source: RNAcentral
UAAAUGAAACUGUGGGACACCAUGAUGGU